This 788-nucleotide ribosomal RNA is filed under the name uncultured bacterium. RNAcentral describes it as "bacterial SSU rRNA". It matches the Rfam family "Bacterial small subunit ribosomal RNA", at positions 60 to 808 of the family's 1533-position model. The record is from RNAcentral.
AGUCGAGCGAGCUUGCCUAGAUGAUUUUAGUGCUUGCACUAAAUGAAACUAUAUACAAGCGAGCGGCGGACGGGUGAGUAACACGUGGGUAACCUGCCCAAGAGACUGGGAUAACACCUGGAAACAGAUGCUAAUACCGGAUAACAACACUAGACGCAUGUCUAGAGUUUGAAAGAUGGUUCUGCUAUCACUCUUGGAUGGACCUGCGGUGCAUUAGCUAGUUGGUAAGGUAACGGCUUACCAAGGCAAUGAUGCAUAGCCGAGUUGAGAGACUGAUCGGCCACAUUGGGACUGAGACACGGCCCAAACUCCUACGGGAGGCAGCAGUAGGGAAUCUUCCACAAUGGACGAAAGUCUGAUGGAGCAACGCCGCGUGAGUGAAGAAGGGUUUCGGCUCGUAAAGCUCUGUUGGUAGUGAAGAAAGAUAGAGGUAGUAACUGGCCUUUAUUUGACGGUAAUUACUUAGAAAGUCACGGCUAACUACGUGCCAGCAGCCGCGGUAAUACGUAGGUGGCAAGCGUUGUCCGGAUUUAUUGGGCGUAAAGCGAGUGCAGGCGGUUCAAUAAGUCUGAUGUGAAAGCCUUCGGCUCAACCGGAGAAUUGCAUCAGAAACUGUUGAACUUGAGUGCAGAAGAGGAGAGUGGAACUCCAUGUGUAGCGGUGGAAUGCGUAGAUAUAUGGAAGAACACCAGUGGCGAAGGCGGCUCUCUGGUCUGCAACUGACGCUGAGGCUCGAAAGCAUGGGUAGCGAACAGGAUUAGAUACCCUGGUAGUCCAUGCCGUAAACG